This 669-nucleotide ribosomal RNA is filed under the name uncultured Actinomycetes bacterium. RNAcentral describes it as "bacterial SSU rRNA". It matches the Rfam family "Bacterial small subunit ribosomal RNA", at positions 663 to 1331 of the family's 1533-position model. The record is from RNAcentral. Lineage: Bacteria; Bacillati; Actinomycetota; Actinomycetes.
GGAAUUUCUGGUGUAGCGGUGGAAUGCACAGAUAUCAGGAAGAACACCGAUGGCGAAGGCAGGUCUCUGGGUAGUAACUGACGCUGAGGAGCGAAAGCAUGGGUAGCGAACAGGAUUAGAUACCCUGGUAGUCCAUGCCGUAAACGGUGGGCGCUAGGUGUGGGGUUCCUUCCACGGGCUCCGCGCCGUAGCUAACGCAUUAAGCGCCCCGCCUGGGGAGUACGGCCGCAAGGCUAAAACUCAAAGAAAUUGACGGGGGCCCGCACAAGCGGCGGAGCAUGUGGAUUAAUUCGAUGCAACGCGAAGAACCUUACCUGGGCUUGACAUAUAGAGGAUCGCUACAGAGAUGUGGUUUCCCUUGUGGCUUCUAUACAGGUGGUGCAUGGUUGUCGUCAGCUCGUGUCGUGAGAUGUUGGGUUAAGUCCCGCAACGAGCGCAACCCUUGUCUUAUGUUGCCAGCACGUUAUGGUGGGGACUCGUGAGAGACUGCCGGGGUCAACUCGGAGGAAGGUGGGGAUGACGUCAAAUCAUCAUGCCCCUUAUGUCCAGGGCUUCACACAUGCUACAAUGGCCGGUACAGAGGGCUGCGAUGCCGUGAGGCGGAGCGAAUCUCUUAAAGCCGGUCUCAGUUCGGAUUGGGGUCUGCAACUCGACCCCAUGAAGUCGGAG